This 550-nucleotide ribosomal RNA is filed under the name uncultured Bacteroidota bacterium. Its description in RNAcentral is "bacterial SSU rRNA". It matches the Rfam family "Bacterial small subunit ribosomal RNA", at positions 28 to 609 of the family's 1533-position model. Lineage: Bacteria; Pseudomonadati; Bacteroidota. The record is from RNAcentral.
AACGAACGCUGGCGGCGUGGAUAAGACAUGCAAGUCGAACGGAGUGACUUCGGUCACUGAGUGGCGCACGGGUGAGUAACACGUGAGUAAUCUGCCCCUGAGACAGGGAUAGCCCCGGGAAACUGGGAUUAAUACCUGAUAGUCUCGCAAGAGUAAAGCAGCAAUGCGCUUGGGGAUGAGCUCGCGGCCUAUUAGUUAGUUGGCGGGGUAACGGCCCACCAAGGCGAUGACGGGUAGCCGGUCUGAGAGGAUGUCCGGCCACACUGGAACUGAGACACGGUCCAGACACCUACGGGUGGCAGCAGUCGAGAAUCAUUCACAAUGGGGGAAACCCUGAUGGUGCGACGCCGCGUGGGGGAGGAAGGUCUUCGGAUUGUAAACCCCUGUCAUGUGGGAGCAAGACUUCGGUUUGAUAGUACCACAAGAGGAAGAGACGGCAAACUCUGUGCCAGCAGCCGCGGUAAUACAGAGGUCUCAAGCGUUGUUCGGAAUCACUGGGCGUAAAGGGUACGUAGGCGGCAACAUAAGUCGUGCGUGAAAGGCAGGGGCU